CAGUAGGGAUCUUCCGCAAUGGACGAAAGUCUGACGGAGCAACGCCGCGUGAGUGAUGAAGGUUUUCGGAUCGUAAAACUCUGUUAUUAGGGAAGAACAAAUGUGUAAGUAACUGUGCACAUCUUGACGGUACCUAAUCAGAAAGCCACGGCUAACUACGUGCCAGCAGCCGCGGUAAUACGUAGGUGGCAAGCGUUAUCCGGAAUUAUUGGGCGUAAAGCGCGCGUAGGCGGUUUCUUAAGUCUGAUGUGAAAGCCCACGGCUCAACCGUGGAGGGUCAUUGGAAACUGGGAAACUUGAGUACAGAAGAGGAAAGUGGAAUUCCAUGUGUAGCGGUGAAAUGCGCAAAGAUAUGGAGGAACACCAGUGGCGAAGGCGACUUUCUGGUCUGUAACUGACGCUGAUGUGCGAAAGCGUGGGGAUCAAACAGGAUUAGAUACCCUGGUAGUCCACGCCGUAAACGAUGAGUGCUAAGUGUUAGGGGGUUUCCGCCCCUUAGUGCUGCAGCUAACGCAUUAAGCACUCCGCCUGGGGAGUACGACCGCAAGGUUGAAACUCAAAGGAAUUGACGGGGCCCC
Molecule: ribosomal RNA, 578 nt
Filed under: Staphylococcus sp.
Lineage: Bacteria; Bacillati; Bacillota; Bacilli; Caryophanales; Staphylococcaceae
Description: bacterial SSU rRNA
Rfam family: Bacterial small subunit ribosomal RNA
Source: RNAcentral